UGUCAGAAGAGUAUGAAACAAUCUGAAUGGAACAUGGAAGGUUACACUGGGGGAAGCUGGGAGGAUAGCAGCUUUGGAGGCUGGGGCAUGUGGACAGGACAGUGUGUCACAGUGUGAGGCAGAGACGGCUGAACUGGGUUGAGCAGCGGAUGGGGGACUGAGAAGGGAGCACACAGCAGAGGAGACAACCAGGCCAGCUGGAAGGGUCACAGAGAGGAGCUGAAGGGUUCCUGUGUGUGCCCUGGAGAAGCAAACCCGGAGAGACCUAGAAACUGGGCUGAGGAUGUGGGAGGUCAGGUGAGCUGCCUCAGACAACUGAGAGAGUGCAGUGCAGGAGAGGGGGUCCUACAGGAGGAGGAGCCAGUGCUAGACCCUUGCAGCUAAGGUAUGAGAAGUUACAUGAGAGGAUCAGGGAAUCCACCACCUCAGGAGAGAGACUGCAAAG
Molecule: long non-coding RNA, 445 nt
Filed under: Androctonus crassicauda
Lineage: Eukaryota; Metazoa; Arthropoda; Arachnida; Scorpiones; Buthidae
Source: RNAcentral